Molecule: ribosomal RNA, 440 nt
Filed under: uncultured bacterium
Lineage: Bacteria
Description: partial 16S ribosomal RNA
Rfam family: Bacterial small subunit ribosomal RNA
Source: RNAcentral
CCUACGGGAGACAGCAGUAGGGAAUAUUGCUCAAUGGGGGAAACCCUGAAGCAGCAACGCCGCGUGGAGGAUGAAGGUUUUCGGAUUGUAAACUCCUUUUGUUAGAGAAGAUAAUGACGGUAUCUAACGAAUAAGCACCGGCUAACUCCGUGCCAGCAGCCGCGGUAAUACGGCGGGUGCAAGCGUUACUCGGAAUCACUGGGCGUAAAGAGCGCGUAGGCGGGAUAGCAAGUCAGAUGUGAAAUCCUAUGGCUUAACCAUAGAACUGCAUUUGAAACUGUUAUUCUAGAGUAUGGGAGAGGUAGGUGGAAGUUCUAGUGUAGGAGUGAAAUCCGUAGAUAUUAGAAGGAACACCAAUAGCGUAGGCAGGUUACUGGGACGGUUCUGACACUAAGGCACGAAAGCGUAGGGAGCAAACGGGAUUAGAUACCCGGGUAGUC